UGAUGAUGAUGAGGGCAAUUCCUGAGCGUCGCCUUGAAUCUUUACCAAGAGUGGUAAAGAUUCUCUCUAUCUUUUUACCUAAAACUCAGAAUCUCAUUUCUCAAACA
Capsicum annuum is the source of this 107-nucleotide non-coding RNA. The record is from Rfam. Lineage: Eukaryota; Viridiplantae; Streptophyta; Magnoliopsida; Solanales; Solanaceae.